Molecule: ribosomal RNA, 2357 nt
Filed under: Klebsiella oxytoca
Lineage: Bacteria; Pseudomonadati; Pseudomonadota; Gammaproteobacteria; Enterobacterales; Enterobacteriaceae
Also listed under: 1 other name
Description: bacterial LSU rRNA
Rfam family: Bacterial large subunit ribosomal RNA
Source: RNAcentral
GGGUGACUGCGUACCUUUUGUAUAAUGGGUCAGCGACUUAUAUUCUGUAGCAAGGUUAACCGUAUAGGGGAGCCGCAGGGAAACCGAGUCUUAACUGGGCGUUAAGUUGCAGGGUAUAGACCCGAAACCCGGUGAUCUAGCCAUGGGCAGGUUGAAGGUUGGGUAACACUAACUGGAGGACCGAACCGACUAAUGUUGAAAAAUUAGCGGAUGACUUGUGGCUGGGGGUGAAAGGCCAAUCAAACCGGGAGAUAGCUGGUUCUCCCCGAAAGCUAUUUAGGUAGCGCCUCGUGAAUUCAUCUUCGGGGGUAGAGCACUGUUUCGGCUAGGGGGUCAUCCCGACUUACCAACCCGAUGCAAACUACGAAUACCGAAGAAUGUUAUCACGGGAGACACACGGCGGGUGCUAACGUCCGUCGUGAAGAGGGAAACAACCCAGACCGCCAGCUAAGGUCCCAAAGUCAUGGUUAAGUGGGAAACGAUGUGGGAAGGCCCAGACAGCCAGGAUGUUGGCUUAGAAGCAGCCAUCAUUUAAAGAAAGCGUAAUAGCUCACUGGUCGAGUCGGCCUGCGCGGAAGAUGUAACGGGGCUAAACCAUGCACCGAAGCUGCGGCAGCGACACUAUGUGUUGUUGGGUAGGGGAGCGUUCUGUAAGCCGUUGAAGGUGGCCUGUGAGGGUUGCUGGAGGUAUCAGAAGUGCGAAUGCUGACAUAAGUAACGAUAAUGCGGGUGAAAAACCCGCACGCCGGAAGACCAAGGGUUCCUGUCCAACGUUAAUCGGGGCAGGGUGAGUCGACCCCUAAGGCGAGGCCGAAAGGCGUAGUCGAUGGGAAACAGGUUAAUAUUCCUGUACUCGGUGUUACUGCGAAGGGGGGACGGAGAAGGCUAUGUUGGCCGGGCGACGGUUGUCCCGGUUUAAGCAUGUAGGCGGAUGUUCCAGGUAAAUCCGGAACGUUAUUAACGCUGAGGUGUGAUGACGAGGCACUACGGUGCUGAAGUGACAAAUGCCCUGCUUCCAGGAAAAGCCUCUAAGCAUCAGGUAACAUCAAAUCGUACCCCAAACCGACACAGGUGGUCAGGUAGAGAAUACCAAGGCGCUUGAGAGAACUCGGGUGAAGGAACUAGGCAAAAUGGUGCCGUAACUUCGGGAGAAGGCACGCUGAUGGUAAGUGAAGCGACUUGCUCGUGGAGCUGAAAUCAGUCGAAGAUACCAGCUGGCUGCAACUGUUUAUUAAAAACACAGCACUGUGCAAACACGAAAGUGGACGUAUACGGUGUGACGCCUGCCCGGUGCCGGAAGGUUAAUUGAUGGGGUUAUCCGUAAGGAGAAGCUCUUGAUCGAAGCCCCGGUAAACGGCGGCCGUAACUAUAACGGUCCUAAGGUAGCGAAAUUCCUUGUCGGGUAAGUUCCGACCUGCACGAAUGGCGUAAUGAUGGCCAGGCUGUCUCCACCCGAGACUCAGUGAAAUUGAACUCGCUGUGAAGAUGCAGUGUACCCGCGGCAAGACGGAAAGACCCCGUGAACCUUUACUAUAGCUUGACACUGAACACUGGUCCUUGAUGUGUAGGAUAGGUGGGAGGCUUUGAAGUGUGGACGCCAGUCUGCAUGGAGCCAUCCUUGAAAUACCACCCUUUAAUGGCUGGUGUUCUAACGUGGGCCCCUAAUCGGGGUUGCGGACAGUGUCUGGUGGGUAGUUUGACUGGGGCGGUCUCCUCCUAAAGAGUAACGGAGGAGCACGAAGGUCAGCUAAUCCUGGUCGGACAUCAGGAGGUUAGUGCAAUGGCAUAAGCUGGCUUGACUGCGAGCGUGACGGCGCGAGCAGGUGCGAAAGCAGGUCAUAGUGAUCCGGUGGUUCUGAAUGGAAGGGCCAUCGCUCAACGGAUAAAAGGUACUCCGGGGAUAACAGGCUGAUACCGCCCAAGAGUUCAUAUCGACGGCGGUGUUUGGCACCUCGAUGUCGGCUCAUCACAUCCUGGGGCUGAAGUAGGUCCCAAGGGUAUGGCUGUUCGCCAUUUAAAGUGGUACGCGAGCUGGGUUUAGAACGUCGUGAGACAGUUCGGUCCCUAUCUGCCGUGGGCGCUGGAGAAUUGAGGGGGGCUGCUCCUAGUACGAGAGGACCGGAGUGGACGCAUCACUGGUGUUCGGGUUGUCAUGCCAAUGGCAUUGCCCGGUAGCUAAAUGCGGAAGAGAUAAGUGCUGAAAGCAUCUAAGCACGAAACUUGCCCCGAGAUGAGUUCUCCCUGACUCCUUGAGAGUCCUGAAGGAACGUUGAAGACGACGACGUUGAUAGGCCGGGUGUGUAAGCGCAGCGAUGCGUUGAGCUAACCGGUACUAAUGAACCGUGAGGCUUAACCUU